UUCGGAGUCCAUUUUGACUAUUCGGUUCAAUGUCUUAACAAACUUUGAUGCGUUAACCGCACCAAUUUCUCCAAUUCUUGAAGAGCUUUUCAGGUUCCGUGAUCUUGAUUCCCUUCUUGGCCUGGCCAACACCAAAACACAACUUCCUGAUGUUAUUGGUGAGCUAGCUGCUGUGAAGAUUACAGUGAGUGACAUUCCCCAAGGAAAUGAACGAAUCAUGGCAACCAUCAAAUCGAUAAUGACGUGUCUGUGACUCUGAGCCUGUUUGAGUCACAAGCUGUAACGUUUCACAACAAGCUUGAAGGCUUUGGGGGUGAUCCGAGAGUUUUGUCACAUCUAGAAUAAAUCCUAGGAUUGUAGGAGGCCGUAUGCUCUUAAAGGCCACGUCAGAGACUCAUGCAGGGGAGUUUUUUUUAACGAGAAAGUGUCUGAUGAUUCCUACGUUACUACAUCCACCUUCGGUUUGUUGUGAUACUGAUACAUAAGGCCCUCUCACGUGAUAUUUCACAUCGAUGUAGGCUGGCUUCUAGACAUAGUUGGAACAACCCUGCAUCUUCUUUGCUGAGGGGAUACACCAAGGUUGAACCACUGAGCAUAUCUGAGCUCACUAAGUUCAUUCUCACAGCCAAGCCUCAGGUGACUGGAAUCAAGAUGGAAAGAGGAUGGUGUUAUGUCUCCUGCUUCAUGUGCACGAGGAGGCUCCAACGAACUGUCUCCUCAUUCACUUGCGUGUCCCGCAAUAACACUAAAGCUAUUGGUGUGCUCAGGUACCGUGUGGAAAUGAGCAUAGCUGAUGACACGACGAGGGUCUAUUUGUUGGUUUUGAUGGUGAGAUGACAAAACUCCAUAACAUGCGAGCCUACGAAGCUGGUCAUCUCAUGCUUUCUUCACAUAGACUGGACCGGGAGUAAACCCAGAGGAGUCUCGGGCACCUCCUUUUAUACAAGGAGAUAUUCAAGGAUCCACAAGACCAAAAAGGCAACGUCUCCACUUUUGAAGAAAUUACUCAGUCAUGACCACGGUUUCGUAUUUGCAGAAAAUGAGAAUUUUAAUUACCGAAAACGUUCUCUUUUAUACCCCAAUUAUUAUGGAC
Brassica oleracea var. oleracea is the source of this 1093-nucleotide long non-coding RNA. RefSeq lists it as uncharacterized. The transcript has 8 exons. NCBI's taxonomy places the organism in Eukaryota, Viridiplantae, Streptophyta, Magnoliopsida, Brassicales, Brassicaceae. The record is from RefSeq and is a predicted model, not a curated record.